Molecule: long non-coding RNA, 457 nt
Organism: Drosophila subobscura
Lineage: Eukaryota; Metazoa; Arthropoda; Insecta; Diptera; Drosophilidae
Exons: 2
Source: RefSeq, a predicted model, not a curated record
GAAUGUGCACCUACCUGGCGAUCCUUCGUUGUCGUAGCCUAUCAGGCCAUACGGCAAAUACUCCUUCAGAGCCUUUGGAGGAUCCCACUUAUCGAUGUUGUCCACAUUCCACAUGGCUCGUGUCUUCAGGCUCUGCAUUGAUUUAGCUCUUAGCAUUUUCUCUGCUGCCUCCAAGUUCCAUUUGCGGGCUGUUUAAAAGAAUGUUUGGAAUGGUAAGCAAGGAUCUCCAAUAAGGAUUCUCGUGGGCAGACUCACCUCUUAGCCAGCGCAGUAGGAAGUAAUCAUCAUGACUGUCGACGAGCGCAUCGUCCAUCUGCUUGCGGAACUAUAAUUGAAUGAAAAGCGUUGCAAGGAUCAGUGCUUGUCUCCCAAAGGAUGUGAUUAUAUCGAGUCCUAUCUGUAAUCCUGAUUGUAUAUACAAGUCCUAUUGACUCAAAUAAACAUUGUAUAAGCAAAA